GCUUCUCUGAUGUUAGCGGCGGACGGGUGAGUAACACGUGGAUAACCUACCUAUAAGACUGGGAUAACUUCGGGAAACCGGAGCUAAUACCGGAUAAUAUUUUGAACCGCAUGGUUCAAAAGUGAAAGACGGUCUUGCUGUCACUUAUAGAUGGAUCCGCGCUGCAUUAGCUAGUUGGUAAGGUAACGGCUUACCAAGGCAACGAUGCAUAGCCGACCUGAGAGGGUGAUCGGCCACACUGGAACUGAGACACGGUCCAGACUCCUACGGGAGGCAGCAGUAGGGAAUCUUCCGCAAUGGGCGAAAGCCUGACGGAGCAACGCCGCGUGAGUGAUGAAGGUCUUCGGAUCGUAAAACUCUGUUAUUAGGGAAGAACAUAUGUGUAAGUAACUGUGCACAUCUUGACGGUACCUAAUCAGAAAGCCACGGCUAACUACGUGCCAGCAGCCGCGGUAAUACGUAGGUGGCAAGCGUUAUCCGGAAUUAUUGGGCGUAAAGCGCGCGUAGGCGGUUUUUUAAGUCUGAUGUGAAAGCCCACGGCUCAACCGUGGAGGGUCAUUGGAAACUGGAAAACUUGAGUGCAGAAGAGGAAAGUGGAAUUCCAUGUGUAGCGGUGAAAUGCGCAGAGAUAUGGAGGAACACCAGUGGCGAAGGCGACUUUCUGGUCUGUAACUGACGCUGAUGUGCGAAAGCGUGGGGAUCAAACAGGAUUAGAUACCCUGGUAGUCCACGCCGUAAACGAUGAGUGCUAAGUGUUAGGGGGUUUCCGCCCCUUAGUGCUGCAGCUAACGCAUUAAGCACUCCGCCUGGGGAGUACGACCGCAAGGUUGAAACUCAAAGGAAUUGACGGGGACCCGCACAAGCGGUGGAGCAUGUGGUUUAAUUCGAAGCAACGCGAAGAACCUUACCAAAUCUUGACAUCCUUUGACAACUCUAGAGAUAGAGCCUUCCCCUUCGGGGGACAAAGUGACAGGUGGUGCAUGGUUGUCGUCAGCUCGUGUCGUGAGAUGUUGGGUUAAGUCCCGCAACGAGCGCAACCCUUAAGCUUAGUUGCCAUCAUUAAGUUGGGCACUCUAAGUUGACUGCCGG
This 1089-nucleotide ribosomal RNA is filed under the name Staphylococcus aureus. Its description in RNAcentral is "bacterial SSU rRNA". It matches the Rfam family "Bacterial small subunit ribosomal RNA", at positions 79 to 1155 of the family's 1533-position model. Lineage: Bacteria; Bacillati; Bacillota; Bacilli; Caryophanales; Staphylococcaceae. The record is from RNAcentral.